UGGGGAAUAUUGCACAAUGGGCGCAAGCCUGCUGCAGCGACGCCGCGUGAGGGAUGACGUCCUUCGGGUUGUAAACCUCUUUAAGUAGGGACGAAGCGCAAGGCACGGUACCUUCAGAAGAAGCACCGCCUACAUACGUGCCAGCAGCCGCGGACAUACGUGCGGCGCGAGCGUUGUCCGGAGUUACUGGGCGUAACGAGAUCGUAGGCGGUUGGUCACGUCGUCUGUGAUAUCCUAGGGCUUAACCCUGGACGUGCAGGCGAUGCGAGCUGACAUGAGGACUACAGGGGAGACAGGAAGUUCUGGUGUAGCGGUGGAAUGCACAGAUGUCAGGAAGAACACCGAUGGCGAAGGCAGGGCUCUUGGUAGUAACUGACGCUGAGGAGCGAAAGCAUGGGUAGCGAAAAAG
RNAcentral lists this ribosomal RNA (409 nucleotides) under bacterium. Its description in RNAcentral is "partial 16S ribosomal RNA". It matches the Rfam family "Bacterial small subunit ribosomal RNA", at positions 355 to 776 of the family's 1533-position model. The record is from RNAcentral.